GCAAGAAAACUGUUUGGAAAGGUUUGGCUUUGCUGAAUGAUGAUGAAUAUCUUGUUUAUAUAGUGUUCUCUUUUACCAUUUAUGUAUUUCUUGUGUCGCAUCUUUGUAUUUUGAUUUGCUGAGUUUCUAUUGUUAUUGACUCCUGUUACAAAUACUUUACAUUUACGCGUCUCAUAUUAUAAUUGCAUCUGAACUAUUAUAGCCGAAGUGCCAAAAAGAUUUCUCCUUUAAGAAUGAAAAUGAUUACUUAUUGUUUGUGGAAGAAGGAAUUAUUUGGCAAGAAAUAAAGAAAUAGGACUUUCAAGAGUGCAAAAUAUCUAUGUACAUAUAAUUGGAUGUUAUUCAUGUUUAAAUCCAACAAUUUCUUCAGAGAAAAGACAGCAACAUUAGUCAACUUUGUUUACCUAAUGUCUUAAUGAUCUACAGAUGAUUUCAUAUAUGACUCGAUCAUUGUUUAAAAAUGUUUAUGUCAUGUUUUAUAUGUACAUAGAUAUUUUCUUUCAUCUUUUGAAAUUCAUUGUGGAAAUGCUUAAUGAUACUGUUUAGUUAAUCAUUUUUUUUCAUUUGAGGUUUUUAUUGCAUUUAUGUCUAUAUACAUUUAGCUUCUGUCCCAAUUAAAACAUUGUUUGGUUUUUUAAUUACAGGCUUUUCCAUGCAUUGAUUUCUGUUUCUAUUUGGAUAUAUCAUUUAUUUAGCAUGCAGCAAACUAUAGAACGUUAUAGGCGGCAUACAAGGGAUAACGAAACCAAUAAGCCAAUUGAACAAAACCUGCAGCAUCUAAAGGCUAAAUCAGCAAACAUGUUGAAGACAGUAGAGGAUCUUGAAGUUUCAAGAAGGUAUUGUUCUUUUUAUAAGAUUCAACCCCCACCAAAAUAUAUAUUGGCGUUAAAAUAUAAGGUAAGUCCAUGUACUCUUAAAAAUUUUGAUCCAUCUUUGUAUCUCACUGUAAUAGACAUUAAAGGCUUUCUGCUAUGCAGCAAUAAGCUCCAAUUGCAGGCUUUUUGGCAUAUGUAGAAUUAUCUUGGCACUCACAAAUGCUUUUGCUUGCCAAGGAUGUUUCUGGUCUACUUAGAUGAACAAUGCUUAUUUGUUUUUUUUUGUAUUCUUUUAACUAUAAAUUAUAAGAAUAGAGUCUUAAUGACAAUUAUUAUCAAUGCUCUUUUACUCAGUUUCUAGUGCAGCAAGUGUGAGCUAAGAAGAAAAGCUAUUUUUUUCUUGUUUGUAAAAUUGCUAAAACGUGUGUGCUAAAACUGACUACUGCAAAUAUGACAACCAGCUCCUCACACUUUUUAAGUCUUCACUCUACUUCACAGGCCUUGUUUCUACAUUUGGAGCCUCCUAUGUUACUAGAAACGAAGGACGUCGAGCUAGCAUUCUUGUUGGUGCAGUCAGCUUCUUCCUAGGAGGAGCUAGCAAUGCAGGUGCGGUGAAUAUCACAAUGUUGAUCAUAGGACGCAUUCUUCUUGGUGAAGGCAUCUAAAUGUGUUUGGUAUUUUAGUUAUCCAACAUUUAUUGAUGCACUUAGAGAUUUGGAUGAUGCUCUUACAAUGGUGCACCUAUUUGCAAUGUUAACUUUGAAUCUUUGAAUCUUUGGAUUUAGGAUUUGUUUGAAUUAUCCUUCUAAUUAGUUACUUUUCUCAUUUCCUACUGGAUAGAAAUGUGUUUGACUCUGGAUAUUUUCAUCAUUUCAGGCAAGAAUUAUUGAUUUUUAUUAUAGUCUGAUUA
This is a long non-coding RNA of Gossypium raimondii (Peruvian cotton), 1725 nucleotides long. RefSeq lists it as uncharacterized. The transcript has 2 exons. NCBI's taxonomy places the organism in Eukaryota, Viridiplantae, Streptophyta, Magnoliopsida, Malvales, Malvaceae. The record is from RefSeq and is a predicted model, not a curated record.